GACGAACGCUGGCGGCAUGCCUAAUACAUGCAAGUCGAGCGGACCCGAGGUGCUUGCACCUCAAUGGGUCAGCGGCGGACGGGUGAGUAACACGUGGGCAACCUGCCCAACAGACUGGGAUAACUCCGGGAAACCGGAGCUAAUACCGGAUAUCCUCUUUUCACCACCUGGUCAAAAGAGAAAAGGCGGUUUCGGCCGCCACUGUUGGAUGGGCCCGCGGCGCAUUAGCUAGUUGGUGGGGUAAUGGCCUACCAAGGCGAUGAUGGUUAGCCGGCCGGAGAGGGUGUACGGCAACGCUGGAACUUAGACACGGUCCAGACUCCUACGGGGGGCAGCAGUGAGGAAUAUUGCGCAAUGGGCGAAAGCCUGACGCAGCGACGCCGCGUGGAGGAUGAAGGUCUUCGGAUUGUAAACUCCUGUUAAGUGGGAAGAAAGACUUUUUCUUAAUAGGAAAAAGGGAUGACUGUACCAUUAGAGAAAGCACUGGCUAACUUCGUGCCAGCAGCCGCGGUAA
Molecule: ribosomal RNA, 514 nt
Filed under: uncultured bacterium
Lineage: Bacteria
Description: partial 16S ribosomal RNA
Rfam family: Bacterial small subunit ribosomal RNA
Source: RNAcentral